UGCCAGCCGCCGCGGUAAUACGGGGGGUGCAAGCGUUGUUCGGAAUCAUUGGGCGUAAAGCGGGUGUAGGCGGCUUGGCAAGUCGGAUGUGAAAGCCCAGGGCUCAACCCUGGAAUUGCAUUCGAAACUGCCUCGCUAGAGUCCCGGAGAGGGUGGCGGAAUUCCCGGUGUAGAGGUGAAAUUCGUAGAUAUCGGGAGGAACACCAGUGGCGAAGGCGGCCACCUGGACGGUGACUGACGCUGAGACCCGAAAGCGUGGGGAGCAAACAGGAUUAGAUA
This 279-nucleotide ribosomal RNA is filed under the name uncultured bacterium. RNAcentral's name for it is "partial 16S ribosomal RNA". It matches the Rfam family "Bacterial small subunit ribosomal RNA", at positions 506 to 784 of the family's 1533-position model. The record is from RNAcentral.